GUACUUCCGAAGAGUCCCAAAAUGGGACGAAACGGCUGUCCAAUAC
RNAcentral lists this non-coding RNA (46 nucleotides) under Trichobilharzia regenti. The record is from RNAcentral. Lineage: Eukaryota; Metazoa; Platyhelminthes; Trematoda; Strigeidida; Schistosomatidae.